Pongo abelii (Sumatran orangutan) is the source of this 148-nucleotide unclassified non-coding RNA. It matches the Rfam family "Metazoan signal recognition particle RNA". From Rfam's summary of the family: The signal recognition particle (SRP) is a universally conserved ribonucleoprotein. It is involved in the co-translational targeting of proteins to membranes. NCBI's taxonomy places the organism in Eukaryota, Metazoa, Chordata, Mammalia, Primates, Hominidae. The record is from Ensembl.
GCUGGGUGUGGUGGCGCACACCUGUAGUCCCAGCUACUUGGGAGGCUGAGGCAGGAGAAUUGCUUGAAUCCAGGAGGCAGAGGUUACAGUGAGCUGAGAUUGCGCCCCUGCACUCCAGCCUGGGUGACAGAGUGAGACUCUGUCUCAA